CUAUAACCCUUUGUGAACAUACCUAUAACUGUUGCUUCGGCGGGUAGGGUCUCCGCGACCCUCCCGGCCUCCCGCCUCCGGGCGGGUCGGCGCCCGCCGGAGGAUAACCAAACUCUGAUUUAACGACGUUUCUUCUGAGUGGUACAAGCAAAUAAUCAAAACUUUUAACAACGGAUCUCUUGGUUCUGGCAUCGAUGAAGAACGCAGCGAAAUGCGAUAAGUAAUGUGAAUUGCAGAAUUCAGUGAAUCAUCGAAUCUUUGAACGCACAUUGCGCCCGCCAGCAUUCUGGCGGGCAUGCCUGUUCGAGCGUCAUUUCAACCCUCAAGCUCUGCUUGGUGUUGGGGCCCUACAGCUGAUGUAGGCCCUCAAAGGUAGUGGCGGACCCUCCCGGAGCCUCCUUUGCGUAGUAACUUUACGUCUCGCACUGGGAUCCGGAGGGACUCUUGCCGUAAAACCCCCCAAUUUUCCAAAGGUUGACCUCGGAUCAGGUAGGAAUACCCGCUGAACUUAAGCAUAUCAAUAAGGCCGGAGGAA
This 535-nucleotide ribosomal RNA is filed under the name Colletotrichum gloeosporioides. Its description in RNAcentral is "eukaryotic LSU rRNA". The stretch from base 160 to 313 matches the Rfam family "5.8S ribosomal RNA". Lineage: Eukaryota; Fungi; Ascomycota; Sordariomycetes; Glomerellales; Glomerellaceae. The record is from RNAcentral.